Long non-coding RNA from Galeopterus variegatus (Sunda flying lemur), 1090 nucleotides. RefSeq lists it as uncharacterized. The record is from RefSeq and is a predicted model, not a curated record. The transcript is spliced from 6 exons. NCBI's taxonomy places the organism in Eukaryota, Metazoa, Chordata, Mammalia, Dermoptera, Cynocephalidae.
CAAACCGUCUGAAAGUGGCAGUUGCUAAUUCAGCAUCAGGAGUGUUAACGUGUGCAUACAUAACUUCCACUCGGGGUGCCUUGAGGGCGGCCCCAGUCAUUUUUAUUUAACUCCACAGAUAGUAACCCAUGGGAUUGUAGGCAUUGUCUGGAAAGCCUUAGAUUUAACAACGAGCCUGUUUUUCCUCCCCGAAGGCCUUUCUUUCGCAUCUGCAGAGAUGGUGAAAAGCAGAGCUGGAGGGUGAAGCUUAAAAGUAAUUGAUGGAUCCCUACAGUAAGUAAGAAUGGCUGCAGGCAGGACCUGGGUGGUCACCAGAAAUGAGAAAACGGCGGUGGUGUAACGGCCUGUCACAUACAUAUGCCUCAUACUUUAUUCCGAAGUUAAGUUCAAGUGUAUGAAUUCUUGUUGACCCCUAAGUCCAGUUAAACGAUUGAAGAUGUUGGUUGUGGAUUUUGAAAAGGUCCUGUGAAAACCCAUUAUCUUAAGAUGUUGAAUGUAAGGAUCUUCGUGAUGAAAUUUCUGUAAACGGUACAGCCUCAGCCUCAGUUUCUGAGGCUGAAAAAGGAUCCUUAGCAGCAGCACACUGUGGCAGUUGCCCUGGACCCAGACCCAGACCUGAAACCAAAGAUGAAUAUUUCUCAUGCAUGUGUCUGCAGUGUGUGAGACAGAAUUGUGAACUGCUUUGCCUGAGGUUAUCUCCAAGUGACGCCAGAUGGGAUCAGCACAGCCCUGCUUCUGCUGCUGCUAAUUGCAAAUGGCUAUAAAGUAAUCUCCUAAAAAGAAUCGUUUAAGAUUUCUUUGGGCUUCAUAUUCAAAAGUAUCAAAGGAAUUCAAGUGACUGAGACUAUCCUAGAAAUCUUUGGUGGUUAGUGAGAUUAAGGUAUAAUCAGGAACAUUGAGAACUCCAGUUUAGGUGAUCUGGGUAUUAUCUCAUAUUGGCGGGACUGCAAUGAUUAUAAAUUGAGAUUAAGUAAUUAACAUAUGUACUCUGUAGGGGUACAGAGCAUUCCUCAGGGUGGAUUUCCGAUGAAAUCAGUGUGUCUUGGGUUUAAAUUUUGAAGCACAAAUAAAGUGGGUUUUUUUUUUUUUC